RNAcentral lists this long non-coding RNA (952 nucleotides) under Helianthus annuus (common sunflower). RNAcentral describes it as "hypothetical non coding rna". The record is from RNAcentral. Lineage: Eukaryota; Viridiplantae; Streptophyta; Magnoliopsida; Asterales; Asteraceae.
GUAAUGGUACGAGCCUUGUGGGUUCGGCCUGGGUCCACUCGCGGUCAGGUUCCAUCUGGUACGAACCAAAACCUUUUAGUAGGUGGUAAUUAUAAGGUUCUCCCUCUACUUGUAACAAAUAGCGGGUCCAACUCAUGUUUUUUUCUUUUUAAAGAAACUCAGAUUUUAUAUAUAAAAAUUAAAAAUCAAACAAAUUCUGGUGACAAUGAAUUACCUAAUGCUUCGGGCCUGCAUGACGGACCAAGCAAUUUGGGUGGUUGGGCCGCCAGGGGGAGGCCCAGAGACCCCGAUCCUCGAGUUCUUAUAGUGGAGGACAGCUGUGGUCGUGAGCACACGACGAGUGAACCGUGAAGACACGACAACAUAGUAAUCUCUCGCGGGCUUGUUGGCGGUGACCAAUACCGAAGCUGACUGUCCGAGAUGUAGGUCUAGCGACUCGUAGGUGUUCUGGAGUGUGUGUGAUCCUUCAACCUCUACAAGUUUCAUGAACAGUGUGAUCUCCAGCAGGGAAAGGAAAUGGGACCGGAAUCCGAGGGCGGCUGUAGAUUUUGAUGCCGCCAUAGCCACCGGCGGCCUUUUGAAGACCAAGUGAUGGGAAGUAGAAGAAGCUACCGAUUUGAUCCUUGGCUUGAAGCAUGUAUGUGAAAUUCUUGCCUGGUGGGAUCGGACAAGUUGUACCAUAAGUACCAUCUUGCCAUGAGUUUCUUCUGUGUUGUAACCCGUUCCUGAAAAUAAUAAGUUUCAGGCCAGGUCAGGUUACCUUUUUUAAACCAGAUAACUCAUACACCCUCUAAAGUCUAAAUCUGUCUUUAAAUCUAUACAAAUGUACAUCAACACUUAAGAAUAAACAUCUUAAUACAUACUUUGAUCCUGCUGGACUACAAGCCCUUCGGUGGUCCGGAAUAUGUAUUGGUGGAUUCUACAUUCUUGAUAAGAAAAUUAAGUUUUGGUU